Molecule: long non-coding RNA, 835 nt
Organism: Bombina bombina (fire-bellied toad)
Lineage: Eukaryota; Metazoa; Chordata; Amphibia; Anura; Bombinatoridae
Exons: 2
Source: RefSeq, a predicted model, not a curated record
CAGGAAAUAGGGUUUGGGAGGAGUCAAUCAUGGAAACGGUCAAUCCUGCUAUUCUUCAAGAUGGUUUAUGUUGUGUGUGGAUUGAAACAUUAUACUCAACAACAUGACGUGUCCACCCCCUGAGAAUUCCCCCGAAUUGGCCAGACACUCUGUUGGCUAUUCCAGGGUGGAAGAAGCCGCUGAUCUUGGUGUGAUUAGCAGAACAAUGAGUAUACUGGAUGAAGUGUAGAAGACAUUCCCCACAUUUUGUCUACAGCAAAAGGGUUAAUAAUAGUUUAUUUUAUUAAUACAAUCACCUGUUUUUCUUCUAUUUCCCAAGGUGUUUUUUUUCAUCAACCCAGAGAAGGGCACAAAACUAGAGAAGACAAAUAAAUCCUGUCAUCAUGUGAACCCUAGAGUUUUUACCUUGAUUCAGGAACUUUCAGAUCAUGAGUGGCGUGAUGUCUGACUAUGAACUUAAUAGCAAAAUAGAAUGAUCCAGGCAUUCUAUGUAGGUAAGAUAGGCAGAUUUAUUUUGACAAACACGCAGCAAUGUUUUGACUCUCAAUGGAGUCUUUUUCCAUUGGGAGUCGAACCGUUGCUCCGUGUUUGUCCAAAUAAAUAUGCCUAUCUUACCUACAUCUUUCUAUUUUGCUAUUGAUAUUUGGGGACCCUGCCAGUCCUGGACUUGGAUGCACCUUGGAGGGUAGUGGAAGGGUGCGGUUCCUCCCUUGCUUUACUUUGACUUAAGUCAGUAAGAUUUGACAUGUGCCACACUCAUAGCUUGAAGAUUUGUUUCAGCUCAUUAGCUGCCUACUUCUUCAAUCUGAAGAACCAAUAAAAGUUUUAGACACAA